This 67-nucleotide transfer RNA is filed under the name Dorytomus tortrix. Its description in RNAcentral is "tRNA-Ile". Lineage: Eukaryota; Metazoa; Arthropoda; Insecta; Coleoptera; Erirhinidae. The record is from RNAcentral.
AAUAGAAUGCCUGAUAAAAAGGACCAUUUUGAUAGAAUGGGUCAUGCAAUUUUUUUUGCUUCUAUUA